Molecule: long non-coding RNA, 903 nt
Filed under: Drosophila guanche
Lineage: Eukaryota; Metazoa; Arthropoda; Insecta; Diptera; Drosophilidae
Source: RNAcentral
CGAUGAUAAAUCCCAGGUAUUUCAGUGACCUAAAGCAAAAUUUUGAUUUUUUCAAGCCUAUUGUUAAAUUUGCUUUUCGUAAGCACUGGGCCACCAACCGAAGGUACCGGAGAUGCGUCUGGAAAUCGGGAGCUAUCACCAAGAGAUCAUCUAGAUAGACGAAAACGUUUGAUCUCAACUGCGUCGGGAUCACUUUGUCCAUCACUCGGCAUAGCCUCUGUGCAGCAUUACACAGACCGAAGGGCAUCAUCACAAAGUGGUACAGCGGACGACCUGGAACGGUGAAAGCGGUACAUUUCCUGCCUUCUGGAUCCAACUUGAUUUGCCAGAACGCGAAUUUAAGGUCCACACUUGAAAUGUAAUGCGUCUGGUCGAUCCUGGACAGUAUUCCCUCGAUGCUAGGAAGAGGGUAAGCGUCUUUGACGGUGAGUUGGUUCAGCUUUCGGGCGUCUAAACAAAAUCUGUUUUGUUAGGUUGCCGCACUACCGUCGUCCUAUUGCUCCACGGACUAUCGCUAACCUCUAUCACUCCUAGUUCCAGCAUCUUGUCCACUUCGGUCCAGACCACUUCCUGCAUCGCUGGGGAUUGAGGGAAGUGUCGAUCCUUAAACGGCUCCGCGCCCUCUACCAACUGGAUCCGAUGCUCCUCUACAGUCGUUGACCCUAGUCCGGCAUCUUCGUAAGUCAGGAACUCCCCCUUUACCUUCUCCAGUUCUUCAGCUUCCUUCUCUUCCAGGUCCCAUGCGUCCACAUGUACGUUCUCCUGGUGGUCUUCGACAUAUUGACUGAUCUGUGACAUCUGGACUUCGGAUAUUUUGGCAUCGCUUGUCGAUCUUGGAUACGGACCGAGGACUGUGGGAGCCAACACGAACGACCCCCAAAAAUCGACCCCCAAGUACAUGAC